Scleropages formosus (Asian bonytongue) is the source of this 115-nucleotide long non-coding RNA. RefSeq lists it as uncharacterized. NCBI's taxonomy places the organism in Eukaryota, Metazoa, Chordata, Actinopteri, Osteoglossiformes, Osteoglossidae. The record is from RefSeq and is a predicted model, not a curated record. The transcript is spliced from 3 exons.
GAAGAUGUGGAGGACAGUGAGGGAGACCCCCUCUCAGGGACAGAUGAGAAGAAAGAAUACUAUGACGAUGCCUUUCCUCUGGAGAGGAGUGCUGGACUGAUGGGGACAGAAGACA